GACGAACGCUGGCGGCGUGCUUAACACAUGCAAGUCGAACGGAAAGGCCCUGCUUUUGUGGGGUGCUCGAGUGGCGAACGGGUGAGUAACACGUGAGUAACCUGCCCUUGACUUUGGGAUAACUUCAGGAAGCUGGGGCUAAUACCGGAUAGGAGCUCCUGCUGCAUGGUGGGGGUUGGAAAGUUUCGGCGGUUGGGGAUGGACUCGCGGCUUAUCAGCUUGUUGGUGGGGUAGUGGCUUACCAAGGCUUUGACGGGUAGCCGGCCUGAGAGGGUGACCGGCCCCAUUGGGACUGAGAUACGGCCCAGACUCCUACGGGAGGCAGCAGUGGGGAAUAUUGCACAAUGGGCGGAAGCCUGAUGCAGCAACGCCGCGUGCGGGAUGACGGCCUUCGGGUUGUAAACCGCUUUCGCCUGUGACGAAGCGUGAGUGACGGUAAUGGGUAAAGAAGCACCGGCUAACUACGUG
RNAcentral lists this ribosomal RNA (468 nucleotides) under uncultured bacterium. Its description in RNAcentral is "partial 16S ribosomal RNA". It matches the Rfam family "Bacterial small subunit ribosomal RNA", at positions 28 to 507 of the family's 1533-position model. The record is from RNAcentral.